Molecule: ribosomal RNA, 497 nt
Filed under: uncultured bacterium
Lineage: Bacteria
Description: partial 16S ribosomal RNA
Rfam family: Bacterial small subunit ribosomal RNA
Source: RNAcentral
GAUGAACGCUGGCGGCGUGCCUAAUACAUGCAAGUCGAGCGAACAGAUUAGGAGCUUGCUCCUCUGACGUUAGCGGCGGACGGGUGAGUAACACGUGGAUAACCUACCUAUAAGACUGGGAUAACUUCGGGAAACCGGAGCUAAUACCGGAUAAUAUAUUGAACCGCAUGGUUCAAUAGUGAAAGACGGUUUUGCUGUCACUUAUAGAUGUAUCCGCGCCGCAUUAGCUAGUUGGUAAGGUAACGGCUUACCAAGGCAACGAUGCGUAGCCGACCUGAGAGGGUGAUCGGCCACACUGGAACUGAGACACGGUCCAGACUCCUACGGGAGGCAGCAGUAGGGAAUCUUCCGCAAUGGGCGAAAGCCUGACGGAGCAACGCCGCGUGAGUGAUGAAGGUCUUCGGAUCGUAAAACUCUGUUAUUAGGGAAGAACAAAUGUGUAAGUAACUAUGCACGUCUUGACGGUACCUAAUCAGAAAGCCACGGCUAACUACGUG